This 253-nucleotide ribosomal RNA is filed under the name uncultured bacterium. RNAcentral describes it as "partial 16S ribosomal RNA". It matches the Rfam family "Bacterial small subunit ribosomal RNA", at positions 524 to 776 of the family's 1533-position model. The record is from RNAcentral.
UACGGGGGGGGCAAGCGUUGUUCGGAAUUACUGGGCGUAAAGGGCUCGUAGGUGGCCAACUAAGUCAGACGUGAAAUCCCUCGGCUUAACCGGGGAACUGCGUCUGAUACUGGAUGGCUUGAAUUCGGGAGAGGGAUGCAGAAUUCCAGGUGUAGCGGUGAGAUGCGUAGAUAUCUGGAGGAAUACCGGUGGCGAAGGCGGCAUCCUGGACCGAGAUUGACACUGAUGAGCGAAAGCCAGGGGAGCAAACGGG